This 254-nucleotide ribosomal RNA is filed under the name uncultured bacterium. RNAcentral's name for it is "partial 16S ribosomal RNA". It matches the Rfam family "Bacterial small subunit ribosomal RNA", at positions 524 to 776 of the family's 1533-position model. The record is from RNAcentral.
UACGUAGGGGGCGAGCGUUGUCCGGAUUUAUUGGGCGUAAAGAGCUCGUAGGCGGCUCAGUAAGUCAGGUGUGAAAACUCCAGGCUCAACCUGGAGACGCCACCUGAUACUGCUGUGGCUAGAGUCCGGUAGGGGAGCAUGGAAUUCCUGGUGUAGCGGUGAAAUGCGCAGAUAUCAGGAGGAACACCAGUGGCGAAGGCGGUGCUCUGGGCCGGAACUGACGCUGAGGAGCGAAAGCGUGGGGAGCAAACAGG